This is a small nuclear RNA of Otolemur garnettii (small-eared galago), 102 nucleotides long. The record is from Ensembl. NCBI's taxonomy places the organism in Eukaryota, Metazoa, Chordata, Mammalia, Primates, Galagidae.
UUGCUCAUUUCAGCAGUAGAUGCGCUAAAAUUGGAAUGAUACAGAGAAGAUCAGCCUCUGUGCAAAAAUGACACACAAAUUCGUGAGGUGUUCCACGUUUUA